CCUACGGGAGGCAGCAGUAGGGAAUAUUGCUCAAUGGGGGAAACCCUGAAGCAGCAACGCCGCGUGGAGGAUGAAGGUUUUCGGAUUGUAAACUCCUUUUGUUAGAGAAGAUAAUGACGGUAUCUAACGAAUAAGCACCGGCUAACUCCGUGCCAGCAGCCGCGGUAAUACGGAGGGUGCAAGCGUUACUCGGAAUCACUGGGCGUAAAGAGCGCGUAGGCGGGUUAGCAAGUCAGAUGUGAAAGCCUAUGGCUUAACCAUAGAACUGCAUUUGAAACUGUUAUUCUAGAGGAUGGGGAAGGUAGGUGGAAUUCUUGGGGUAGGGGUAAAAGCGGUAGAGAUCAAGAGGACUACUCAGUGGGAGGGCGGCUUACUGCACCGUAACUGACGUUGAGGCUCGAAAGCGUGGGGAGCAAACAGGAUUAGAUACCCCAGUAGUC
Molecule: ribosomal RNA, 440 nt
Filed under: uncultured bacterium
Lineage: Bacteria
Description: partial 16S ribosomal RNA
Rfam family: Bacterial small subunit ribosomal RNA
Source: RNAcentral